CUUCAUCCCAAAGUCAUGAUGUCUGAUAAGAUAAGCCUGCUUAAGGCAUCCAAUCCUCUUGUGGAAUCCUUUGGUCAGUGAAAAAGAUCGGAAGAAUUAAAGGCAGAAAUUGGAAGAAAAACAAAAGAUCCAUUUUUGAAGCACUAACUCUUUCAAUGGAUUGAAUGAAGUACUUUUGGUCUACCUAUACUACAAAGAGAAACUGAGACUAAGUUCACCAUAUUACUCUGGGAGACCAGUUAUGAUUUCAA
Molecule: long non-coding RNA, 251 nt
Organism: Mobula hypostoma (lesser devil ray)
Lineage: Eukaryota; Metazoa; Chordata; Chondrichthyes; Myliobatiformes; Myliobatidae
Exons: 3
Source: RefSeq, a predicted model, not a curated record